RNAcentral lists this long non-coding RNA (270 nucleotides) under Malus domestica (apple). RNAcentral's name for it is "long non-coding RNA (MDOM_LNC018719)". The record is from RNAcentral. Lineage: Eukaryota; Viridiplantae; Streptophyta; Magnoliopsida; Rosales; Rosaceae.
ACCUACAUACUUGUCUUAGUGUCACAACACGAAUGGGAUGAGACUUUCCAUCCUUCCAAUUGAAGCGGACAUAGUAUGUACCGGUCUACGCAUUGUCAGUAUCCCUCCGACAAUCCAACGACCAAGAACCUUUUGGACAUAAUGGUUAUGUGAAGAAGGUCUCUGUAGUCUAACAUCAUUAGAUUACUUCUCCAAUCGAUCCAUUGUCCAUGGAUACACUAUUCAGGACAUAUAUCGUUUAUUGAGAUAGUCCUAAUUAGCAUCUUUGCC